CCUACGGGUGGCAGCAGUGAGGAAUAUUGGUCAAUGGGCGCGAGCCUGAACCAGCCAAGUCGCGUGAGGGAAGACGGCCCUACGGGUUGUAAACCUCUUUUGCCGGGGAGCAACGGGCGCCACGCGUGGCGCCACUGAGAGUACUCGGAGAAAAAGCACCGGCUAACUCCGUCCCAGCAGCCGCGGUAAUACGGAGGAUGCGAGCGUUAUCCGGAUUGAUUGGGUUAAAAGGGUGCGUAGGCGGAGCGUUAAGUCAGUGGUCAAAUUGAGGGGCUCAACCCCUUCCCGCCAUUGAAACUGGCGCUCUUGAGUGGAAGAGAAGUAUGCGGAAUGCGUGGUGUAGCGGUGAAAUGCAUAGAUAUCGCGCAGAACCCCGAUUGCGAAGGCAGCAUGCCGGCUUCCGACUGACGCUGAGGCACGAAAGCGUGGGGAUCGAACAGGAUUAGAUACCCGGGUAGUC
Molecule: ribosomal RNA, 460 nt
Filed under: uncultured bacterium
Lineage: Bacteria
Description: partial 16S ribosomal RNA
Rfam family: Bacterial small subunit ribosomal RNA
Source: RNAcentral